AUUGAACGCUGGCGGCAUGCCUUACACAUGCAAGUCGAACGGCAGCACGGGAGCAAUCCUGGUGGCGAGUGGCGAACGGGUGAGUAAUAUAUCGGAACGUGCCCAGUCGUGGGGGAUAACGUAGCGAAAGCUACGCUAAUACCGCAUACGAUCUAUGGAUGAAAGCGGGGGAUCGCAAGACCUCGCGCGAUUGGAGCGGCCGAUAUCAGAUUAGGUAGUUGGUGAGGUAAAGGCUCACCAAGCCGACGAUCUGUAGCUGGUCUGAGAGGACGACCAGCCACACUGGGACUGAGACACGGCCCAGACUCCUACGGGAGGCAGCAGUGGGGAAUUUUUGGGACAAUGGGCGAAAGCCUGAUCCAGCAAUGCCGCGUGAGUGAUGAAGGCCUUAGGGUGUAAAGCUCUUUUACCCGAGAUGAUAAUGACAGUAUCGGGAGAUAAGCUACCGGCUAACUCCGUGCCAGCAGCCGACGG
This 474-nucleotide ribosomal RNA is filed under the name uncultured bacterium. RNAcentral's name for it is "bacterial SSU rRNA". It matches the Rfam family "Bacterial small subunit ribosomal RNA", at positions 30 to 520 of the family's 1533-position model. The record is from RNAcentral.